GACGAACGCUGGCGGCGAGCUUAACACAUGCAAGUCGAACGGAAAGGCCCUGCUUUUGUGGGGUGCUCGAGUGGCGAACGGGUGAGUAACACGUGAGUAACCUGCCCUUGACUUUGGGAUAACUUCAGGAAACUGGGGCUAAUACCGGAUAGGAGCUCCUGCUGCAUGGUGGGGGUUGGAAAGUUUCGGCGGUUGGGGAUGGACUCGCGGCUUAUCAGCUUGUUGGUGGGGUAGUGGCUUACCAAGGCUUUGACGGGUAGCCGGCCUGAGAGGGUGACCGGCCACAUUGGGACUGAGAUACGGCCCAGACUCCUACGGGAGGCAGCAGUGGGGAAUAUUGCACAAUGGGCGGAAGCCUGAUGCAGCAACGCCGCGUGCGGGAUGACGGCCUUCGGGUUGUAAACCGCUUUCGCCUGUGACGAAGCGUGAGUGACGGUAAUGGGUAAAGAAGCACCGGCUAACUACGUGCCAGCAGCCGCGGUGAUACGUAGGGUGCGAGCGUUGUCCGGAUUUAUUGGGCGUAAAGGGCUCGUAGGUGGUUGAUCGCGUCGGAAGUGUAAUCUUGGGGCUUAACCCUGAGCGUGCUUUCGAUACGGGUUGACUUGAGGAAGGUAGGGGAGAAUGGAAUUCCUGGUGGAGCGGUGGAAUGCGCAGAUAUCAGGAGGAACACCAGUGGCGAAGGCGGUUCUCUGGGCCUUUCCUGACGCUGAGGAGCGAAAGCGUGGGGAGCGAACAGGCUUAGAUACCCUGGUAGUCCACGCUGUAAACGGUGGGUACUAGGUGUGGGGUCCAUUCCACGGGUUCCGUGCCGUAGCUAACGCUUUAAGUACCCCGCCUGGGGAGUACGGCCGCAAGGCUAAAACUCAAAGGAAUUGACGGGGCCCCGCACAAGCGGCGGAGCAUGCGGAUUAAUUCGAUGCAACGCGUAGAACCUUACCUGGGUUUGACAUGGAUCGGGAGUGCUCAGAGAUGGGUGUGCCUCUUUUGGGGUCGGUUCACAGGUGGUGCAUGGCUGUCGUCAGCUCGUGUCGUGAGAUGUUGGGUUAAGUCCCGCAACGAGCGCAACCCUUGUUCACUGUUGCCAGCACGUUAUGGUGGGGACUCAGUGGAGACCGCCGGGGUCAACUCGGAGGAAGGUGGGGAUGACGUCAAGUCAUCAUGCCCCUUAUGUCCAGGGCUUCACGCAUGCUACAAUGGCUGGUACAGAGAGUGGCGAGCCUGUGAGGGUGAGCGAAUCUCGGAAAGCCGGUCUCAGUUCGGAUUGGGGUCUGCAACUCGACCUCAUGAAGUCGGAGUCGCUAGUAAUCGCAGAUCAGCAACGCUGCGGUGAAUACGUUCCCGGGGCU
Molecule: ribosomal RNA, 1346 nt
Filed under: uncultured bacterium
Lineage: Bacteria
Description: partial 16S ribosomal RNA
Rfam family: Bacterial small subunit ribosomal RNA
Source: RNAcentral